UUUGCUUCUCUGCCUUUUGGCUAAGAUCAAGUGUAGUAUCUGUUUUUAAUAUCUGAUACAUCUUCUAUAUGAGGAGUCUAUUUUAGGACGACUCUGGGUUGUUGAUCGGAGGAGCCCUAGUACUGUCAAGCUGCCACCAUUGGGCCCUUGAGCAAUGCCCUCACCCCCUGGCUGACUCUGCGCUCU
Molecule: small nuclear RNA, 186 nt
Organism: Hemibagrus wyckioides
Lineage: Eukaryota; Metazoa; Chordata; Actinopteri; Siluriformes; Bagridae
Product: U2 spliceosomal RNA
Exons: 1
Source: RefSeq, a predicted model, not a curated record